Molecule: ribosomal RNA, 363 nt
Filed under: uncultured bacterium
Lineage: Bacteria
Description: bacterial SSU rRNA
Rfam family: Bacterial small subunit ribosomal RNA
Source: RNAcentral
AAGUCCCGCAAGGGAUUAGUAGAGUGGCAAACGGGUGAGUAACACGUGGGUGACCUGCCUUCGAGUGGGGGAUAACGUCCCGAAAGGGACGCUAAUACCGCAUAACAUCCUGCCUUUUAAGAGGUGGAGAUCAAAGCCGGGGAUCGCAAGACCUGGCGCUUGAAGAGGGGCCCGCGUCCGAUUAGCUAGUUGGUGGGGUAAUGGCUCACCAAGGCUUCGAUCGGUAUCCGGCCUGAGAGGGCGGACGGACACACUGGGACUGAGACACGGCCCAGACUCCUACGGGAGGCAGCAGUGGGGAAUUGUUCGCAAUGGGCGCAAGCCUGACGACGCAACGCCGCGUGGAGGAUGAAGAUCUUCGGG